Molecule: ribosomal RNA, 225 nt
Filed under: uncultured bacterium
Lineage: Bacteria
Description: partial 16S ribosomal RNA
Rfam family: Bacterial small subunit ribosomal RNA
Source: RNAcentral
GACGAACCGUGCGAACGUUGUUCGGAAUCACUGGGCUUAAAGGGCGCGUAGGCGGGCCGGCAAGUCAGGGGUGAAAUCCCACGGCUCAACCGUGGAAGUGCCUUUGAUACUGCCGGUCUGGAGGGAGGUAGGGGCGUGCGGAACUUCCGGUGGAGCGGUGAAAGUGCGGUAGAUAUCGGAAGGAACACCGGGUGGCGAAAGCGGCGCGCUGGACCUCUACUGACG